Molecule: small nuclear RNA, 106 nt
Organism: Peromyscus eremicus (cactus mouse)
Lineage: Eukaryota; Metazoa; Chordata; Mammalia; Rodentia; Cricetidae
Source: RefSeq, a predicted model, not a curated record
GUGCUCGCCUUGGCAGCACAUCUAUUACAAUUGAAACAAUACGGAGAAGAUUAGCAUGGCCCUGUGAAAGGGUGACACAAAAGUUCAGGAAGCAUUCCAUAUUCAA